GUGGUAUGAUUGCAAAUGAGACAACUAUCCACAAAAGACCAAAAUGACACAGACAUUAACAACUAUAGGUCACCGUACGGCCUUCAACAAUGAGCAAAGCCCAUACCGCAUAUUGAGCUAUAAAAGGCCCCGAUAAGACAAUGUAAAACAAUUCAAACGAGAAAACUAACGGCCUCAUUUAUGUAAAAAAAAAUGAACGAAAAACAAAUAUGUAACACAUAAACAAACGACAACCACUGAAUUACAGGCUCCUGACUUGGGACAGGCCUAUACAUAAAUAAUGUGACGGGGUUAAACAUGUUAGCGGGAUCCCAACCCUCCCCCUAACCUGGGACAGUGGUAUAACAGUACAACAUAAGAACGAAC
RNAcentral lists this long non-coding RNA (366 nucleotides) under Mytilus galloprovincialis (Mediterranean mussel). Lineage: Eukaryota; Metazoa; Mollusca; Bivalvia; Mytilida; Mytilidae. The record is from RNAcentral.